AGAGUUUGAUCAUGGCUCAGAAUCAACGCUGGCGGCGUGCCUAACACAUGCAAGUCGAACGCGAAAGUCCCGAAAGGGGCAAGUAGAGUGGCAAACGGGUGAGUAACGCGUGGGUGACCUGCCUUCGAGCGGGGGAUAACGUUUCGAAAGGAACGCUAAUACCGCAUAACAUCCUGCCUUUGAAGAGGCGGAGAUCAAAGCUGGGGAUCGCAAGACCCGGCACUUGAAGAGGGGCCCGCGUCUGAUUAGCUAGUUGGUGGGGUAACGGCCUACCAAGGCAACGAUCAGUAUCCGGCCUGAGAGGGCGGACGGACACACUGGGACUGAGACACGGCCCAGACUCCUACGGGAGGCAGCAGUGGGGAAUUGUUCGCAAUGGGCGCAAGCCUGACGACGCAACGCCGCGUGGAGGAUGAAGAUUUUCGGAUCGUAAACUCCUGUCGAACGGGACGAACAGAUUGCGGGUUAACAGCCCGUAGUCCUGACGGUACCGUUAAAGGAAACCCCGGCUAACUCCGUGCCAGCCGCCGCGGUAAUUCA
This 540-nucleotide ribosomal RNA is filed under the name uncultured bacterium. RNAcentral's name for it is "bacterial SSU rRNA". It matches the Rfam family "Bacterial small subunit ribosomal RNA", at positions 8 to 527 of the family's 1533-position model. The record is from RNAcentral.